UACGAAGGGUGCAAGCGUUACUCGGAAUUACUGGGCGUAAAGCGUGCGUAGGUGGUGAGUUAAGUCUGUCGUGAAAGCCCCGGGCUCAACCUGGGAAUGGCGAUGGAUACUGGCUCGCUAGAGUGCGGUAGAGGAGAGUGGAAUUCCCGGUGUAGCAGUGAAAUGCGUAGAGAUCGGGAGGAACAUCAGUUGCGAAGACGGCUCUCUGGACCAGCACUGACACUGAGGCACGAAAGCGUGGGGAGCAAACAGG
This 253-nucleotide ribosomal RNA is filed under the name uncultured bacterium. RNAcentral describes it as "partial 16S ribosomal RNA". It matches the Rfam family "Bacterial small subunit ribosomal RNA", at positions 524 to 776 of the family's 1533-position model. The record is from RNAcentral.